GAUAGCUGGUUCUCUCCGAAAUAGCUUUAGGGCUAGCCUCAAGUGAUGAUUAUUGGAGGUAGAGCACUGUUUGGACGAGGGGCCCCUCUCGGGUUACCGAAUUCAGACAAACUCCGAAUGCCAAUUAAUUUAACUUGGGAGUCAGAACAUGGGUGAUAAGGUCCGUGUUCGAAAGGGAAACAGCCCAGACCACCAGCUAAGGUCCCAAAAUAUAUGUUAAGUGGAAAAGGAUGUGGCGUUGCCCAGACAACUAGGAUGUUGGCUUAGAAGCAGCCAUCAUUUAAAGAGUGCGUAAUAGCUCACUAGUCGAGUGACACUGCGCCGAAAAUGUACCGGGGCUAAACAUAUUACCGAAGCUGUGGAUUGUCCUUUGGACAAUGGUAGGAGAGCGUUCUAAGGGCGUUGAAGCAUGAUCGUAAGGACAUGUGGAGCGCUUAGAAGUGAGAAUGCCGGUGUGAGUAGCGAAAGACGGGUGAGAAUCCCGUCCACCGAUUGACUAAGGUUUCCAGAGGAAGGCUCGUCCGCUCUGGGUUAGUCGGGUCCUAAGCUGAGGCCGACAGGCGUAGGCGAUGGAUAACAGGUUGAUAUUCCUGUACCACCUAUAAUCGUUUUAAUCGAUGGGGGGACGCAGUAGGAUAGGCGAAGCGUGCGAUUGGAUUGCACGUCUAAGCAGUAAGGCU
RNAcentral lists this ribosomal RNA (680 nucleotides) under Staphylococcus aureus. Its description in RNAcentral is "partial 23S ribosomal RNA". It matches the Rfam family "Bacterial large subunit ribosomal RNA", at positions 844 to 1526 of the family's 2925-position model. Lineage: Bacteria; Bacillati; Bacillota; Bacilli; Caryophanales; Staphylococcaceae. The record is from RNAcentral.